Molecule: transfer RNA, 69 nt
Filed under: Brillia bifasciata
Lineage: Eukaryota; Metazoa; Arthropoda; Insecta; Diptera; Chironomidae
Description: tRNA-Tyr
Rfam family: tRNA
About the family: Transfer RNA (tRNA) molecules are approximately 80 nucleotides in length. Their secondary structure includes four short double-helical elements and three loops (D, anti-codon, and T loops).
Source: RNAcentral
GAUUAAAUGGCUGAAAUAUAAGUGAUAAAUUGUAAAUUUAUUUAUGAAGGGUUAAUCUUCUUUAAUCAA